This 301-nucleotide ribosomal RNA is filed under the name uncultured bacterium. RNAcentral's name for it is "partial 16S ribosomal RNA". It matches the Rfam family "Bacterial small subunit ribosomal RNA", at positions 509 to 808 of the family's 1533-position model. The record is from RNAcentral.
CAGCCGCCACGGUAAUACGGAGGGGGCUAGCGUUGUUCGGAAUUACUGGGCGUAAAGCGCACGUAGGCGGCUUGGUAAGUUAGAGGUGAAAGCCUGGAGCUCAACUCCAGAAUUGCCUUUAAGACUGCCGAGCUAGCAGGUGAGAGAGGUAAGUGGAAUUCCGAGUGUAGAGGUGAAAUUCGUAGAUAUUCGGAAGAACACCAGUGGCGAAGGCGGCUUACUGGCUCAUACUGGACGCUGAGGUGCGAAAGCGUGGGGAGCAAACAGGAUUAGAUACCCCUGUAGUCCCUGUCUCUAUACA